This 70-nucleotide transfer RNA is filed under the name Chorthippus albonemus. Its description in RNAcentral is "tRNA-Thr". It matches the Rfam family "tRNA". From Rfam's summary of the family: Transfer RNA (tRNA) molecules are approximately 80 nucleotides in length. Their secondary structure includes four short double-helical elements and three loops (D, anti-codon, and T loops). Further hydrogen bonds mediate the characteristic L-shaped molecular structure. tRNAs have two regions of fundamental functional importance: the anti-codon, which is responsible for specific mRNA codon recognition, and the 3' end, to which the tRNAs corresponding amino acid is attached (by aminoacyl-tRNA synthetases). tRNAs cope with the degeneracy of the genetic code in two manners: having more than one tRNA (with a specific anti-codon) for a particular amino acid; and 'wobble' base-pairing, i.e. permitting non-standard base-pairing at the 3rd anti-codon position. The record is from RNAcentral. RNAcentral also lists the same sequence under 2 other names. Lineage: Eukaryota; Metazoa; Arthropoda; Insecta; Orthoptera; Acrididae.
GUUUUAAUAGUUUUAAGAAAAACGUCGGUCUUGUAAACCGAAAAUGAGAAAGUCCCCCACUUUUAAAACU